This 447-nucleotide ribosomal RNA is filed under the name uncultured bacterium. RNAcentral describes it as "bacterial SSU rRNA". It matches the Rfam family "Bacterial small subunit ribosomal RNA", at positions 28 to 504 of the family's 1533-position model. The record is from RNAcentral.
GAUGAACGCUGGCGGCGUGCCUAACACAUGCAAGUCGAGCGAACCCUUUGGGGUGAGCGGCGGACGGGUGAGUAACGCGUGGGUAACCUGCCCUGUACACACGGAUAACAUACCGAAAGGUAUGCUAAUACGAGAUAAAAUGUAAUGAUCGCAUGGUCGAUACAUCAAAGCUCCGGCGGUACAGGAUGGACCCGCGUCUGAUUAGCUAGUUGGUGAGGUAAUGGCUCACCAAGGCGACGAUCAGUAGCCGACCUGAGAGGGUGAUCGGCCACAUUGGAACUGAGACACGGUCCAAACUCCUACGGGAGGCAGCAGUGGGGAAUAUUGCACAAUGGGCGAAAGCCUGAUGCAGCAACGCCGCGUGAGCGAUGAAGGCCUUCGGGUCGUAAAGCUCUGUCCUCAAGGAAGAUAAUGACGGUACUUGAGGAGGAAGCCCCGGCUAACUAC